Molecule: ribosomal RNA, 484 nt
Filed under: uncultured bacterium
Lineage: Bacteria
Description: partial 16S ribosomal RNA
Rfam family: Bacterial small subunit ribosomal RNA
Source: RNAcentral
AUUGAACGCUGGCGGCAGGCCUAACACAUGCAAGUCGAGCGGAUGAAGGGAGCUUGCUCCUGGAUUCAGCGGCGGACGGGUGAGUAAUGCCUAGGAAUCUGCCUGGUAGUGGGGGAUAACGUCCGGAAACGGGCGCUAAUACCGCAUACGUCCUGAGGGGGAAAGUGGGGGAUCUUCGGACCUCACGCUAUCGGAUGAGCCUAGGUCGGAUUAGCUAGUUGGUGGGGUAAAGGCCUACCAAGGCGACGAUCCGUAACUGGUCUGAGAGGAUGAUCAGUCACACUGGAACUGAGACACGGUCCAGACUCCUACGGGAGGCAGCAGUGGGGAAUAUUGGACAAUGGGCGAAAGCCUGAUCCAGCCAUGCCGCGUGUGUGAAGAAGGUCUUCGGAUUGUAAAGCACUUUAAGUUGGGAGGAAGGGCAGUAAGUUAAUACCUUGCUGUUUUGACGUUACCAACAGAAUAAGCACCGGCUAACUUCGUG